GGCAUGAUUCACUACCUUGGCAGGUACCUCCCAAACCUGUCAGAAGUCAACAAGCCACUAACAGACUUGUUAAAGAAAGAGGUAAUGUGGGGUUGGGGUGCUGCACAACAGGAGGCCUUUAAGAGGGUGAAACAGUUAGUCACUGAGGCUCCUGAUUUAGCAUUAUUUGAUUUAAAGAAAGACACAGUAGUCAGUGCUGAUGCGAGCAGUUAUGGGCUGGGUGGGGUCCUACUGCAGUUACAUGAUGAACAAUUGAUGCCAGUAGCUUACUGCUCCAGGACAAUGACUGAUGCUGAAAAGCGCUAUGCGCAGAUUGAAAAAGAAUGUCUUGCUGCAGUCUGGGCAUGUGAAAAAUUCUCUAGGUACUUGUAUGACCUGGACACAUUCACUUUACAGAGUGACCACAAACCACUCAUUCCACUCAUUAACAGUAAAGAUCUAGACUCAGUACCAAUGAGAUGUCAGAGACUGCUGCUGCGCAUGAUGCGCUAUAACCCAAAAGCUGAGUUUGUUCCAGGGAAGCAGUUGGUCAUUGCAGACACCCUGUCUAGACAUCCUCAGCCAGAACUGACGCAGGACUUCGCAGAGUUGACCAGUGACCUGGAGGCGUACGAGGAGGCUGUUCGUGAGGCAUGGCCUAUCUCUCCCAGCAAGCUUGACAUGGUCAAACAGCACACUCUACAGGAUGAUGAGCUACAGUUGGUGCAACGCUUCGUACUGGGUCGGUGGACACAGUAUUCAGCCAACGUGCCACUGAAGCAGCGUGGUGACCCUGCUUCAACCACAUCUCUGCAAAUCUGCGGGCCGGGAAGGCUGGAUAGCUCUCCCAGAGAGCUGUCACUGACGUGCAGGCUGAGGACAGCCAGCGCACAUCAAACACUCUCCCAAUCCUACGAGCCUGGAUGCCCAAAUCAAAAGCCGCAGACUCAAGCUCUUUCAAAUAUGAAGAUAUGCUGCUCUGUAUUCUUUUCAUUUUUCGUCCAUUUGGUUUAAACUUUUGUUUCGGCGGGGACAGGAAGUUGACUUUUGAAACCAUAGAAACGCAAGUAAAUCCGGUUGGUUUUCAAAAUAAAACUGCUUUCUGCGAG
This is a long non-coding RNA of Gadus morhua (Atlantic cod), 1088 nucleotides long. RefSeq lists it as uncharacterized. The transcript is spliced from 2 exons. The record is from RefSeq and is a predicted model, not a curated record. NCBI's taxonomy places the organism in Eukaryota, Metazoa, Chordata, Actinopteri, Gadiformes, Gadidae.